Molecule: ribosomal RNA, 601 nt
Filed under: Picipes dictyopus
Lineage: Eukaryota; Fungi; Basidiomycota; Agaricomycetes; Polyporales; Polyporaceae
Description: eukaryotic LSU rRNA
Rfam family: Eukaryotic large subunit ribosomal RNA
Source: RNAcentral
UAACAAGGAUUCCCCUAGUAACUGCGAGUGAAGCGGGAAGAGCUCAAAUUUAAAAUCUGGCGGUUUUGGCCGUCCGAGUUGUAGUCUGGAGAAGUGCUUUCCGCGCUGGACCGUGUACAAGUCUCUUGGAAUAGAGCGUCAUAGAGGGUGAGAAUCCCGUCUUUGACACGGACUACCAGUGCUUUGUGAUGCGCUCUCAAAGAGUCGAGUUGUUUGGGAAUGCAGCUCAAAAUGGGUGGUAAAUUCCAUCUAAAGCUAAAUAUUGGCGAGAGACCGAUAGCGAACAAGUACCGUGAGGGAAAGAUGAAAAGCACUUUGGAAAGAGAGUUAAACAGUACGUGAAAUUGCUGAAAGGGAAACACUUGAAGUCAGUCGCGUCGCUCAGAACUCAGCCUUGCUUUUUUGCUUGGUGCACUUUCUGAAUGACGGGCCAGCAUCAAUUUUGACCGUCGGACAAGGGCUGGGGAAAUGUGGCACCUCCGGGUGUGUUAUAGUCCCUGGUCGCACACGACGGUUGGGAUUGAGGACCGCAGCGCGCCGUAAGGCAGGGACUUUUGUCCACUUUCGCGCUUAGGAUGCUGGCGUAAUGGCUUUAAAUGAC